Cyprinus carpio (common carp) is the source of this 896-nucleotide long non-coding RNA. RefSeq lists it as uncharacterized. NCBI's taxonomy places the organism in Eukaryota, Metazoa, Chordata, Actinopteri, Cypriniformes, Cyprinidae. The transcript is spliced from 3 exons. The record is from RefSeq and is a predicted model, not a curated record.
CAUGGGUCUGUAUGGGUUUCAGAAGAUUGUGCCUAUCAAACAUACCCACCACCAUCUCUAGAGGCUUUGCUAAAGCUAGUGGUGCUGCCUAAUAUUGACCAUCCUGUCUGUCCAGGCCAUUAUAAUGUACUUUGUCCUGGAUGUGUCUAACUUCCUGCACUGUAAGGAUGAUCUCCUGCAGUCAUUCUGCCAUGUCUUCAGUAUCCCAUCUGCAUUUUCCCAGCAGAUCUGUGGAUUCUGGCUUCUAGAUCACGGAUUAGUAACAGACUCAAUUAAUGUCUUAUUGAGCCCAAGAGCAUGUCCUCCAACACUGCCAUGGCACCAUUAUGCUGUUCUGAGGACCUUAUUGAAGACAGGAGAGAACCGAGCAGCACUGAAGUAUCUCUACAGCAUCACACCAGUCAUGGAGAACAUUCAAGACAUCAAACUCUGUGUGGAUGUGUUAAUACACAACAAGUAAAUCACAAUGAUUCUUAUGAACCUAAGUUCCUUUGGUGUUUUUGUAAUUGCAGUACAUUGGAGUUAUUAUUAUGGGUUAUGCUUUAUGUUUCAGAUGUAUCUCUGAGGCCUGGGCUCUGAUUAGAGGACUCCAAACUAAAGAUGUUCACCUGUUUAAACAUUUCAUUCAUGUCUGUGAGAAUCAUGGGAUUUGUAGUAAUACGGUGGCCUCUCUGUGUGAGGUGAUUCUAGAUAUCGUAAUGAUUUUCACCCUGGGAUAACUGGUAAACUCUGAAUUUGGUAAAAUGAUGGUAUAAACAAAUUUGUUCUUUGCCAUCCAUCUAUUUUUUGUGGCAGGGGUUGGCUCAUCUCCAGCUGAUAGAAAGCCAAAAUAUGCAGUCCAGUGAAGCACAAAUACUGAAGCAAGAAAGAGUAGGUCAAAAACCAGUAAGAACUGA